This 330-nucleotide unclassified non-coding RNA is filed under the name plant metagenome. RNAcentral's name for it is "partial contains 5.8S ribosomal RNA, internal transcribed spacer 2, and large subunit ribosomal RNA". The stretch from base 1 to 105 matches the Rfam family "5.8S ribosomal RNA", at positions 50 to 154 of the family's 154-position model. The record is from RNAcentral.
GAAAUGCGAUAAGUAGUGUGAAUUGCAGAAUUCAGUGAAUCAUCGAAUCUUUGAACGCACAUUGCGCCCCAUGGUAUUCCGUGGGGCAUGCCUGUUCGAGCGUCAUUUACACCCCUCAAGCUCUGCUUGGUGUUGGGCGUCUGUCCUUCCUGCGGUGCCUAUAUCGACCCGCAUGGACUCGCCCCAAAGGCAUUGGCAGCGGUCCUGCCGGGCCUCCUAAUUGCGCAGCACUGUUCGCGCCCCCUGGAGCCCGCGCGGAUUUCAGCGUCCACGAAGCCAUCUCUCUGAACUUGACCUCGAAUCAGGUAGGGAUACCCGCUGAACCUAAGC